Molecule: ribosomal RNA, 810 nt
Filed under: uncultured bacterium
Lineage: Bacteria
Description: bacterial SSU rRNA
Rfam family: Bacterial small subunit ribosomal RNA
Source: RNAcentral
AGAGUUUGAUCAUGGCUCAGAAUCAACGCUGGCGGCGUGCCUAACACAUGCAAGUCGAACGCGAAAGUCCCGCAAGGGAUUAGUAGAGUGGCAAACGGGUGAGUAACACGUGGGUGACCUGCCUUCGAGUGGGGGGAUAACGUCCCGAAAGGGACGCUAAUACCGCAUGACAUCCUGCCUUUGAAGAGGUGGAGCUUAAAGCCGGGGAUCGCAAGACCUGGCGCUUGAAGAGGGGCCCGCGCCUGAUUAGCUAGUUGGUGAGGUAACGGCUCACCAAGGCAUCGAUCAGUAUCCGGCCUGAGAGGGCGGACGGACACACUGGGACUGAGACACGGCCCAGACUCCUACGGGAGGCAGCAGUGGGGAAUUGUUCGCAAUGGGCGCAAGCCUGACGACGCAACGCCGCGUGGAGGAUGAAGAUCUUCGGGUCGUAAACUCCUUUCGAUCGAGACGAACGGCUUCCGGGUGAACAAUCCGGAAGAGUGACGGUACCGAGAGAAGAAGCCCCGGCUAACUCCGUGCCAGCAGCCGCGGUAAUACGGGGGGGGCAAGCGUUGUUCGGAAUUACUGGGCGUAAAGGGCUCGUAGGCGGCCAACUAAGUCAUACGUGAAAUCCCUCGGCUUAACCGGGGAACUGCGUCUGAUACUGGAUGGCUUGAGAUUGGGAGAGGGAUGCGGAAUUCCAGGUGUAGCGGUGAAAUGCGUAGAUAUCUGGAGGAACACCGGCGGCGAAGGCGGCAUCCUGGACCAACACUGACGCUGAGGAGCGAAAGCCAGGGGAGCAAACGGGAUUAGAUACCCUAGUAGUCC